GCAUCUCAUUCUUGGGAGCCAAAACUUUGUAAUUUGCUACUGGGCAGCCUGCUCUCGCUGACAUUCUUUCUGAUAACAGAGUAGUGCCCUCUCUUUAUUUAUAGCUGGACGACUAACCCCAGAGAUCUAUUUGGUAACUAGGUAUACAUAUUAUAACAGACUCUUAUUAAGGAAGAAAUGAAAAAUACUAUCAAAUUGCCUCUGGCAAGCAAAAUUACUGGGCCAAGGGACAUUUUCCUCUACCAGCUGAUAACCUUAAAGACAUUUCUAUUAGCCACGGUUUCACAGUACUGGUUUCAUAAGGAUGCCAUUUCACAAGACACCAACUGAAACACACAGAAGGAAUACUCUCUGGGAAUGAGUUUCUUUGGUAACAUAGUUUUUAGACAUAAAAGUGUUCAAAAUGUUUGGAGGGUGCUUGUCUUUAAAGUUAAAGAAAAAUCUAUAAAAAUGUAAAACUAAAUUUUAUGU
Molecule: long non-coding RNA, 471 nt
Filed under: Bos taurus (domestic cattle)
Lineage: Eukaryota; Metazoa; Chordata; Mammalia; Artiodactyla; Bovidae
Description: long non-coding RNA NONBTAT000949
Source: RNAcentral